This 429-nucleotide ribosomal RNA is filed under the name uncultured bacterium. RNAcentral describes it as "bacterial SSU rRNA". It matches the Rfam family "Bacterial small subunit ribosomal RNA", at positions 29 to 507 of the family's 1533-position model. The record is from RNAcentral.
AACGAACGCUGGCGGCAGGCUUAACACAUGCAAGUCGAACGCCCCGCAAGGGGAGUGGCAGACGGGUGAGUAACGCGUGGGAAUCUACCGUACCCUACGGAAUAGCUCCGGGAAACUGGAAUUAAUACCGUAUACGCCCUACGGGGAAAGAUUAUCGCCAAAGGAGCGGCCCGCGUCAGAUUAGGUAGUUGGUGGGGUAAAGGCCUACCAAGCCUACGAUCUGUAGCUGGUCUGAGAGGAUGAUCAGCCACACUGGGACUGAGACACGGCCCAGACUCCUACGGGAGGCAGCAGUGGGGAAUCUUGGACAAUGGGCGCAAGCCUGAUCCAGCCAUGCCGCGUGGAUGAUGAAGGCCUUAGGGUUGUAAAAUCCUUUCAACGGGGACGAUAAUGACGGUACCCGUAGAAGAAGCCCCGGCUAACUUCGUG